CUUCCGGGAGGGACCCGGAAGUACUUAAGGAUCUCGGCUGGAAGGCGGCGGACGCGGCUGGCUGGGUUGUAUGUUGACGAUUUUCCGCGUUCGUUGGUCCUGCUGCCGCCGCCGCCGCCAACAUGGGGAAGCGACAGCACCAGAAAGACAAGAUGUACAUUACCUGUGCUGAAUACACCAACUUCUAUGGUGGCAAGAAACCAGAUAUUCCACAAACAAAUUUUCGUCGUUUACCUUUUGACCACUGCAGUCUCUCUCUGCAGCCCUUCAGCUACCCGGUCUGCACCCCUGAAGGCGUCGUCUUUGACUUGCUGAACAUCCUUCCUUGGCUUAAGAAGUACGGGACCAACCCCAGCAACGGCGAGAAACUGGACGGGCGGUCCCUGAUUAAACUGAACUUUGCAAAGAACAGUGAAGAGAAGUACCACUGUCCAGUGCUGUACACCGUGUUCACCAACAACACCCACAUCGUGGCCAUCAGGACCACUGGCAACGUCUAUGCCUACGAGGCAGUGGAGCAGCUCAAUAUCAAGGCCAAGAACUUCCGAGACCUGCUGACGGACGAGCCCUUCUCCCGGCAGGACAUCAUCACCCUCCAGGACCCUACAAAUUUGGACAAAUUCAACGUCUCCAACUUCUUUCAUGUUAAGAAUAACAUGAAAAUAACUGACCCAGAUGAAGAAAAGGCCAAACAGGACCCAUCUUAUUAUUUGAAAAAUACCAAUGCCGAGACCCGAGAAACACUGCAGGAGCUCUACAAGGAGUUCAAGGGGGACGAGGUCCUGGCGGCCACCAUGAAAGUCCCAGAGAAGAGGAAGGUGGACAAGCUGAAUGCGGCCCACUAUUCCACUGGGAAGGUUAGCGCCUCCUUCACCUCCACCGCCAUGGUUCCAGAGACCACCCACGAAGCAGCUGCCAUUGACGAGGACGUGCUGCGCUACCAGUUUGUGAAGAAGAAGGGCUACGUGCGGCUGCACACCAACAGGGGCGACCUCAACCUGGAGCUGCACUGCGACAUGACACCAAAAACCUGCGAGAACUUCAUCAAGCUCUGCAAGAAGCAGUAUUACGAUGGCACCAUCUUCCACAGGUCCAUCCGGAAUUUUGUGAUCCAGGGAGGUGACCCCACUGGCACAGGCACGGGUGGGGAGUCUUACUGGGGAAAACCCUUCAAAGAUGAGUUCCGGCCCAACCUCUCGCACACCGGCCGGGGCAUCCUCAGCAUGGCCAACUCGGGGCCCAACACCAACAAGUCUCAGUUCUUCAUCACCUUCCGCUCCUGCGCUUACCUCGACAAGAAGCACACCAUCUUCGGGCGGGUUGUCGGUGGCUUUGACACACUAACGGCCAUGGAGAAUGUGGAGAGUGAUCCCAAAACUGACCGCCCUAAGGAGGAGAUCCGCAUCGACUCCACCACGGUCUUUGUGGACCCCUACGAGGAGGCUGAUGUUCAGAUCGCCGAGGAGCGGAAGAAGACACAGCUCGCGGAGGCGGCCCCCGAGAGCACAGUGAAGAAAAGCCAGUCCAAGUCAGGGAACCAGGGCCCCCCAACCUACCGCCAGGGGGUGGGCAAGUACAUCAACCCUGCAGCCACGAAACGUGCGGCUGAUGAGGAACCAUCCACCAGCGCAGCUGUCCCCGUGGCCAAGAAGAAGCCCAGUGGAGGUUUCAAGGACUUCAGCGCAUGGUAGCAGCAGGCCUGCUGCUCGGACCCGGUAGGGACGCGGUGCUGGUUUCCACACCCCGAGCCUGUGCCCGCCCGGCUUCCCUUCUCCUGACCUUGACACUACCUCAGCUCUCCUGAAGUGCCUGCUUCAGAAGCCGGGGACAGCUGCCUCCUCCCGGGAGCCGUCUCCUCUACCCUGGGGCUCCAAAAGAUCCCUGUUCCCCUCACACCUCUUCUCAACGCUAAGGUCCUUGGGUCGGCACAGCCCACCACCUCCUCCCGCUCAGCACGCUGAAGUUCUAACUCCGUUUCAUCCUUCGUUUCUCACCCCAAACCUCAAUUCCGUCAGUAAGUCUCGACAGUUCUUCCAGAAUGCACCUGGCUCUUCUCCCAGCUCUGAUGCUCAACACCAGGCCCAAACCCGGUGUCUCACCUGCCUCCUCCUGUGGCCCUCGUGCACGGCCACACUGACGCUGAGUCACCUUCCCACAGCUGCUGACCUGACAGUGGCUCUUCGCUGUGCCCGUCCCUCUGUGGUCUCCCUGCCCGUCAGCUGUCUAGCUCCUCUGCACCUUCAGUCACAGUGGUCCCUCGCUUCUUCAUGACCCCUUCACACCACCCUCCAAGCUACAGAUGCCUGCGAACUCACUCGGGAAAGGCUGUUUGCACCAGCGCGGUCUCCGAGAGCCUGGCAGACCCAGGAGGCGGCAGGCAGGUGGGUGUGUGACAGCACAGGGCCCGGCUGCCUCUGGAGAAGACCCUGGGAUCCCGUGGGGGCGGUGUGGCCCCAGGGCCUGUCCCUCAGCAGCAGAGCCAAGCACCGGCUACUGCAAAGGAGACGCUGGACAUGGAAGCUUUAUUUCUGAACCUCACACUGACACAGAGGCGGGGGAGGCUGUGUGCUCGCGCUGGCAGUCCAGCUCCGAGGGGGGCCUCCGGGCUAGGCCAGGCUGCAGCCCCACGGAGCGGCCCCCAGGUGGGCCCAGAGCCUUUGACAAAUGAGGUUUACAUUCUGUAGGUUACUUUGGAGCUUACAUUGUGGUUUUCCAGAAAUUAAAAGCACUUGGAUUUUCUAAGUACCUGGUGAGGUCAUCAGGUAAAUUAAAGGACUUUUGAAAAAUUCCCAUUUCUGAUCCUUGCUAAUAUCUGACAGAUGCCAUCAAGAAUAAGUGUUAAGGUAUAAAAAUACUAUAUAUGUAUAUACAAAACGGCAACAAGACUAAACCACGUUUCUAAAGCAAAUGUACUGAGCCAGAGGACACAGCCCAGUUUUAAGUUAAAUGCAUUUGUAAUCCUGGCAUCACCUCCCACUCAGGGAAAAAAUAGUUUAAAUAACUUAAAAGUCAGGAUGACAUUUGCUGUUUCGGAAUUUGAGAGGGUGGAACACACCAGCACAGAGUUGUGGCUCGUGCAUGUCCUUCCCUGAAGCCAGCUCAGUUCAUUUGGUUUCAAAAGGAGCUUGGGUUUUGCAGACCAACAAAAAAGUGGUGAGAAUAUUUGUAUCAAUUAUAUAAAAAAACAAAA
Myotis daubentonii (Daubenton's bat) is the source of this 3190-nucleotide RNA transcript. It is a transcript of the gene named peptidylprolyl isomerase like 2, with no coding region annotated. The record is from RefSeq and is a predicted model, not a curated record. The transcript has 21 exons. NCBI's taxonomy places the organism in Eukaryota, Metazoa, Chordata, Mammalia, Chiroptera, Vespertilionidae.